UGCAGCCUCCCUCUCUGCAUCUCCCAUCUUUGAAUUGAAGCUCUCAUCUCUAUAGAACAAAAGUUCGAUCGAAUUGGGAUCGAAUGGAAUUGGGAAGUUAAUUGGGUCUGUGCUGCCAAAUUUAGAGAAGGCUUCGGUGUAUAACAACAGGUAAUGCACCGAGUAAACGCUCUCGUGUGCAAACUACUGAUCAGCCAUGCCCAAAUGGAUCCCGUUCUACUUCAGGUAGUGCAAUGAGUAAACGCUCUUGUGUGCAAACUACUGAUCAGCCACGUGAAAAUUCUGUAGAAGAUGGACUCAAUUCCUCGCUAUAGGCUAUAGAAUGUAUAACGACAAAAAUAAAUUUCAUC
Molecule: long non-coding RNA, 350 nt
Organism: Rosa chinensis
Lineage: Eukaryota; Viridiplantae; Streptophyta; Magnoliopsida; Rosales; Rosaceae
Exons: 4
Source: RefSeq, a predicted model, not a curated record